AAACUCUACUUUCUCCCCUACCCAACACCUCAGGACCCUUUCCCAGAGUCAUCUCUCUCAAAGGCAAAGGUGACUUGAAUAAUAUGACUCAACUAAAUCAAUAUGGCAUAGUGUAUAGAUACCCAGGAAGUCAGGUCUGAGAUGACUAAAAUAAAAUCCUGAUUAUGUCAUGCAAUUAGGCUUAAGUGAAGAGAAUCAUGAAAUCAACUGAAAUGACAUCUUCUGAUACAUCGGAAAAAAUAUGAAGCAAAGGGUAGUCUGUUUUUACCUUUGUUUUUAUUUAUUCAUAUUUAUUGCUGGUAUAAUUUCCAUGCCAACACAUCAUUAUAAUAAGUAAUUCCAUAUAAUA
Long non-coding RNA from Sarcophilus harrisii (Tasmanian devil), 349 nucleotides. RefSeq lists it as uncharacterized. The record is from RefSeq and is a predicted model, not a curated record. The transcript has 3 exons. NCBI's taxonomy places the organism in Eukaryota, Metazoa, Chordata, Mammalia, Dasyuromorphia, Dasyuridae.